This 253-nucleotide ribosomal RNA is filed under the name uncultured microorganism. Its description in RNAcentral is "partial 16S ribosomal RNA". It matches the Rfam family "Bacterial small subunit ribosomal RNA", at positions 524 to 776 of the family's 1533-position model. The record is from RNAcentral.
UACGGAGGGGGCGAGCGUUGUUCGGAAUUACUGGGCGUAAAGCGCACGUAGGCGGUGCGGUAAGUCAGGGGUGAAAGGCUGCAGCUCAACUGCAGUAAGGCCUCAGAUACUAUCGUGCUAGAGUGCCGGAGAGGGGAGCGGAAUUCCCUGUGUAGCGGUGAAAUGCGUAGAUAUAGGGAGGAACACCGGUGGCGAAGGCGGCUACCUGGCCGGUAACUGACGCUGAGGUGCGAGAGCGUGGGGAGCAAACAGG